AUGUCCGAUGUAGUGAAGAUGAGAUUUUACUAUGGUCCUGGUACUGUCCAAACAAAUGAGUUGGGAGCAGAUCUGAGUGAAUUUACUCACAUAGAGGUGGCAAUCAGCGCACCACAAACAUGGUCUGUUAGUCAGUUGAAAGAAUGGAUUGCGGCAAGUUUAGGUCUUGAUACUGAAACACACACCGUCGGUGUUCAUGCAUUGUGGACACGGUCAAGUUCAAAAAUUUACUUUUAUUUGAGGCCAAUAGAGGGAGACUCCGAUUGGGUGCGGUGGUUACAAGGUUGUGAACGAAGGGGAUGCAAUCCUGUUGCUUUAGUGCUUCCCGUCGUGAAGGAGGUCACUGCACAUGAAGGGGAGGGUGGCUACGAAGGACAGAGCAGUCAUGUAGAAGGAGGAAAUGCUUAUGGUUACGAACAAGGACAGAGCAGUCAGGUAGAAGGAGGGAAUGCUUAUGGUUAUGAACCAGGGCAGAGUAGUCAGGUAGAAGGAGGAAAUGCCGAUGGUGAUUACAAUGGCGAGGUGGACGCUGACGAGGUAGAUGGGCACAUGCAGAACCAGAUGGAAGAAGAAGACACCGAUGUUGAAAGGGGUCAUGCCGAUGAUUCUGACGAGUCAGAUGAAGAAGAAAAUGCAGAGGAGGUCCCGAAUCCUGCAUGGUGGAAUCAUGACUUAUCAUCUGCAAUGACCGUGAAUGAUGGACAUGAUUCAGCCUGGCAAUAUCACCAGAACAAUAUUGCGACGGGUGCUAUGUAUCCGAACAAGCAAGCCUUGAAGGAUGCAAUAAUUAAUUGGGCAAUGUCCACGCAAAGGGUUUUCAAAGCUGAGGUGUCCAGUCAGAAAUUCCUCACAAUGGUAUGCAAGAACGCAGAUUGUCCCGCAAGGGUGCACGGCUUUCUCCCUAAGUAUGGCACAAGUUGGGUGAUAAGUGACUUAGUUAAUCACACUUGUCUUAUUCCCUGCAUCCCUCAAGAUCAUGCCAACCUUUCAUCCACGCUUAUUGCUCGACUGUUUUACGAUGAGAUAGUGCAAGGCAAAGCUAUGGAAGUGAAGGCAGUGCAGACAAAAGUGUUCGCCAUGUUGAAGUACAGAAUUUCUUAUGGCAAGGCUUGGAGGGCUAAGCAUGCAGCGCUUGAGAGGAGAUUUGGUUCUUAUUUUGAUGCAUAUGACUCUGUUGUCCACCUCCUCCACACCCUGCAGCAGCGGAAUCCAGGCACCUAUAUCGAUAUCCAAGAUAUGUUCAUGCCAGAGUUCCCAACUGUGAGGGUGUUGCAUCGUCUCUUCUUCUCUUUCGGUGUAUGCAUCGAAGCUUUCAGGCAUUGCCAACCGGUGAUAUGUGUUGACAGUACUUUUCUCACAGGCAAGUACAAGGGUCAGAUCCUGACAGCCAUAGGUCAAGACGGCCAAAAUCAAGUCGUCCCACUGGCAUUUGCUUUUGUGGAGAGUGAGAACAUUGAAAGUUGGACAUGGUUCUUCAGGCAGUUGAAAAUAUCAGUUGUGAAGGAGAAGCCCAAUGUGUGCAUCCUUCAUGACAGGCAUGCAGGUAUACUCAGUGCGAUAAGGACACUGACAAACCCAGGCCCUGAGGAACAAGUUCCAUGGCAGGACUUGCAGAGCCGUUGGUGCAUGCGCCAUCUCGGGGCUAAUUUCUUCUCGCAGUUUAGAAAUAAGAACCUGAUGAAUCUGUUCAAAAAACUCUGCAAGCAGAACCAGUUAUGGAAGUACAAUUUGAUACGCGACAGACUUAAUGUGUGCACGCAGAGACACGUGAGGGACAGGAAAGCUGCAAGAGAUGCAGCGGUGAGGGCACAUGUUGAAGCAGUAGCUGCACAGUUGGCAACAGGAACAGCGGCCGUGGAGGAGGAGGCUGUUGGGCUAUGUGACCUGCCAGGCUUUGACCCACCUAGUACUAGGAGAAGGCUCGGGAGGUCGAUUAAAACCUUCGAGCAGUGGAUAGAGCAUGAGCCUCUAGAGAGGUGGUCUUUGCUACAUGACACACAUGGAGCAAGGUACGGUGUCAUGACAACGAACCUCGCGGAAACAUACAACUUUGUCCUCAGAGGAAACCGGGCAUUGCCACUUACAGCCAUCGUUGAGGGUAUUUUCUAUGGCACCGUCAAGUAUUUCAGAGACAGACGUCAAAUAACAGAGCAACAUAUCUUGAACAACCCAAAUACACGGUACUGUGAAAGAGUCACGAAGUACAUGGACAACAAGAUGCAAAAAGCUAGGUCACACACUGUAGUCGCCAUCGGUAAUCAAGAAAGAAGGUUUGAGGUCCGCUUAGCCAACAACAAAUUCGGAUGUGCAAAUGAGUUGAGGACACACGAGGUGAAAAUUGGCAAUGAACCCUGGCCAACGUGCGAGUGCACAUGCAAUAAACCGAAAUUGCUUCACCUACCUUGCUCACAUGUACUUGUUGCUUGCGGGCAGCUUGGAAUGGACGCAAUAUCGUUUGUGUCUCCAUAUUUUCUGAAAGAGGCUGUCCUCAAUACCUGGACAGGUGAGCUGAUGGGUUUUCGAUCAACGGGUAAUUUCAACAGCGUCAACCCCGCCGAAAGGCGUUACAUUCCAAACCCAGAGCAUAUGCGUACAAGUAGAGGCAGACGGCAGUGUCAGCGCAUCCGAAAUGAUAUGGAUGAAUCUGAAGCAGGAGGUCCGACUAGGCAAUGCAUUCUAUGCAAUGAAUUUGGCCAUAGGGACACUAAUUGUACCACUUUCGUCACUGGGCGUGGACGAGGCAACCGGGGAAGAAGAGGAGGUAGAUGCAGUAGAGGAGUAAGGGCGAGAGGAAGAAGCUAA
RNAcentral lists this ribosomal RNA (2802 nucleotides) under Triticum aestivum (bread wheat). RNAcentral's name for it is "partial small subunit ribosomal RNA". The record is from RNAcentral. Lineage: Eukaryota; Viridiplantae; Streptophyta; Magnoliopsida; Poales; Poaceae.